GCCCGGGUGGCGGAAUGGCAGACGCACUGGAUUUAAAAUCCGGUGGCCGAAAGGCCGUGCGGGUUCAAAUCCCGCCCCGGGCA
Molecule: transfer RNA, 83 nt
Filed under: bacterium
Lineage: Bacteria
Description: tRNA-Leu
Rfam family: tRNA
About the family: Transfer RNA (tRNA) molecules are approximately 80 nucleotides in length. Their secondary structure includes four short double-helical elements and three loops (D, anti-codon, and T loops).
Source: RNAcentral